This 1067-nucleotide long non-coding RNA is filed under the name Rattus norvegicus (Norway rat). RNAcentral describes it as "long non-coding RNA NONRATT026002". Lineage: Eukaryota; Metazoa; Chordata; Mammalia; Rodentia; Muridae. The record is from RNAcentral.
UGUUGCCUUGGUUCUUGUCAAGAACUCUGCAUUCGGUGAAACUCAGCUUCUGAGUUCUGGAGACCUUGGAUAAAAUAAUGCACAGUGUUGUAGUACAGAGUAAGUGCUCUCACACAGUCUGAAAUGUUCCACAUUUGGAGUACCCACUGGACUCUGAGUGGAAAGGUACACACCUUACUUCAUGUAGGAGGAUCACUGUCAAAAUACAGGCUCACUAAAAAUGUAGUAUAUAACAUAUUCAAGAUAUGUGUUUAAAUUGUAUACAAAACAGUAGUUAAGUUCAUGUUUAGACUUAAGUUUCAUGCCAAGAACAUGUCAUGUUAAAUACAAAGACUCCAGCAUCCAAGAAAGCAUCAAAUCCAAAAUAUUUUCUUCCCAAGCAUUUCUGAUAAUGAACACUAAAUUUCAGUCUUAAAAUUCAAUCACUUUGUUAGCAGUUAGGAAAUUGAGUACUUCAUUGAUGUUAUGUUAAAUGCCCCACUCUGCUUAUUUGUCAAUGAAUGAGAAAUCUAAUUCUUAAAUUUAGAUCUUUAAAGAAUAUAUCAGUUUAUGUGCACAUACCCAGUUACUCUAGAACCAACCAACAAUUGGUUAAGGUCCAUUAUAAGGUAGAGGGCUUAACUUUUCUUUGAGAGAAUGAAUUAUCUUUGGAGAAGCAAAUACAUUGUGAGAAGUUUCAGGUAAGAUUUGUUUUUUCCUUUUAGUUUCACCUAAAAUUGUUGUAUUGAAAUCUAAGCAAUGAACUGGGAGAAUAUUUUCUCCAAAGAUAAUGUUUCAUUUGCCAGAUGGACAAGAGUAUGAGCCUCAGUGGAGGGAUUCCUCCUCAUAAUUUCUGGCAAAUAUAAUUUGUACUUCUUUGUGGUUGUCUAUGGUUCCACUGACUGUUGAAGUAAUGUAUUUUCUCCUUAAAGGAACUUGUUAUUCUUAGAAUUUCAGGUAAAUCACCUGUUCCUAAGUCGUUUCAAUUCAAUGUUCAUACUAAAAUGUGUAUACUUUACAUGUUAAAACUGAAGCAUACUACUUCCUCCCCAAUAAACUGAAUCUGCUGCCACUGUCACUGUCUUGGU